GUUGUAAUGUUUUAUUGAGUUUACAUGUAUAUUACGAGAAUAACGAUAUGUCGUAAAAACAUAAUGAUAGAUUCCUUAACUGGACUUAAGCUGGCAGCCUCUUUUAGCAGCCAAUCAAGAUCAAAUGUAACGGAUUUACAAAUACCGACUGUACUUUCGUGGAAAUAAGUUUCGUUCUGGACAAGAAUAAUAGUAAUACAACUACAAAUGGAGUUACUAACCGAGCAUGCAGCAACUACUCAGACUUUGUAAAACGCCACCAGUGUAGAAAGUUGAUGAACUAGGAGUAUGUUAAAGAACGUCACGUCCUUUUUUCUCAAAAAAGUUCAUCGGAACAUAUCAAUGCCUUGUUGAUAAACAUUCCGUAUCAACUUCACAAUUAAUACACAAUAGCCUUGGAGUAUAUAAUUUGGGUACUGACGUUGUUUAUCAUCUUAAUAACUUGUUAUAGAAUUCUUUUAUUUGUCUUUAUGAAUAUAACUUUAACUAUCAAGUCUGUUCUUUUGGUGGUAUCCAUGUGACGUAGCUGUGUACUUAUUAAUCCCGCCAUUGUAUUGUUGUUUUAUUAUUAUUUUUGUAUUCCUGUCUUUCAUUGAUGCUAAUAUGCUUUUUCACUUAAAUUGUUUAACCAUUCAAUUGCCGUUAUUUAUGACGAAAGAAAU
Long non-coding RNA from Mytilus trossulus (common blue mussel), 662 nucleotides. RefSeq lists it as uncharacterized. The record is from RefSeq and is a predicted model, not a curated record. Lineage: Eukaryota; Metazoa; Mollusca; Bivalvia; Mytilida; Mytilidae. The transcript is spliced from 3 exons.